Equus caballus (horse) is the source of this 3337-nucleotide long non-coding RNA. RefSeq lists it as uncharacterized. The record is from RefSeq and is a predicted model, not a curated record. NCBI's taxonomy places the organism in Eukaryota, Metazoa, Chordata, Mammalia, Perissodactyla, Equidae.
GAAUGAAUGCCUCUUGAGGGCCAACUGUGAGCAAGAUGCCAGGGAUGCAAAAAUGGACAGAGUCCCUGCCCUCAGAGAGCUCAUGGUCUGGUAGAGCAGACCACCGCUAGCCAAAAAAGUCACCCAGUGAAUACGAUACUGUAAUUGUGACAAAGGUUGUGGAAGGACGGGCUCGUAAGGCUCUCGGGAAUUAUAAUGGAGGAAUGGUUUAUUGGGUAGGUCAGUGAUGACUUCCCUGAGGAAGAGAGGAUUUAAUUGAAAUCCCAAAGGAAGGGUAGGAAUUAACUGGGAGGAAGGAUUUGGAGGAGGGGUGGAGAGAGAGGCCCGUAUGUCUGGGUUUCAGAGGGUUGGUGAGUAUGCUGUGAGAUGGGGUAAGAGGUUAGUAGGGUCAGGCCACGCCGUGCCCGGUAGACCAAGUACAGGGUUUUGGUCUUUAUCCUGUUGAAGGGUAUUGAGCAGGAAAAGACGCAAUGAGAUUUACAUUUUGAAAAAGUCACUUUGUGACAUGGUGUGUGCCACGGCAGGCUGGUAUCAGGAGGUAUGUGGGAGCCAGGGUCAGACUGUGCAGAACGUCAGGAAUCCAAGUAGAUAAGAGAGAAUCCAGGAAGAAGAAGGCAGGCCCAGCCCAGGCUGGGCAGCUGAGCGCUAGAAAGCAGGAGACUGGACGUGAGCUCCUUCUGAGGCAGGGGCUGUCAGCCAAGGAUCUCCGAGGUACACCCGCCCAGGAAGUAACCGCAGGUUGGACUAGGGAGGUAGCUUCACCUGGUGGGAAAGGGGACUAAAAAAGGAGUGCUGGUUUUGUCGACCUCUCUGUUUUAAUUCUCAACUCAGAGAAGCUCUGGCCUGCCCCUCUUCUGCUGGACUCUGUAUUCCUAUUGUUUUACCAUAGAAACUGCUGGAGAAAUUUUGGCUAUUGUUUCAAGAGUUCCAAAAAAGAACUGUGUCAUUCCUAUGGAGAGCAGAGAACUCUUGUUGAAUGAAAUCGAGAUAGCUUUUGAGCUGGGAAUUGAGAGAUAACCAAAUGGAGAGGGCAAGAAGAGCCCAUGUGUUAACACAGGGAAAAGAGGGAGAACACGCCGUCAAGAGGAAAUGGCCUGAGCAAAGGCGUGAAGGGAGAGGAGGCAGAGCUACCCGUGAGAGGGCCAGUGGUCAGGGAGGACACUGAGAGGCAGGAGGGCAGCUGCUGAGAGCACGGGCUGUGGACCCUACUGCCUCUGCAAAUCUCAGCUCUAACGCCCCCUACCUUAUGACCUCAGGUGGAUUCCCGUACUGCCCUGUGACUCAGUUUCUUCACCUAUAAAAGGGGAAUAAGACCACCUACUUGAUAGGGUCAUUAUGAGCACUAAAUCCUGCACAAGGCAAUGCAGAAGCAUCAAACCCAGGGAAGGAUGAUCAGUCCUGGGUGCCAGAAGGUAAUUCUGGUGGUGUUUGGAGGAGGGACUGCAGAAGAUCAGAGACAGCGAGGCUCUUGCAAAGCCCUAAUAAUGGGAAAUGAGGACCCACAGAAGGAGAGUCCUUCUAGCAAGUUGAUGACAUUUGGUUUUCCGACCUCCUAGACGUGGAAGGUUAAAAGAAGGCAAUUGGAAGAAGAAGGGGUGCUGUGAGCAGUGAGCAGCCUGAGCCUGUUGGUGAGGGGGGAGUCCAAGAAUGGUCAAAAAGCACCAUCAGAGCUCAGACAUGUAGCGUGAUCGGGGGACAUUUAAUGUACAGGCAAGUGGAGCUGGCCCCGCAAUAGCCCACACAACGUGGCUCUUGUAAACGAGCUGUCCGAGGCUUGUCAGCCUGUGUGUCAAAUGAAGCUGUCCCCACCUGGCUCUGGCAAGGUCCUGCUCCACCCACACCUGGCCCCAAGCCUUUCUGGUUUCCACUGGAGUCGCUCACCCGCAGGGCAGGUGGUGCCCUCCACGAGACUGUCAGUCUCCAUGCUCCCUCCUGAUACUUCCCAAGCAACCAGGCCUUGAGGGGCCACUCUGCACAUCCCAAGUGAAGCCUGAGAGAAAAGCCCUUUCUCCAGCUCCAAUAACCACAGCAAACAUUUCCAUGGCCCUUUCUACAUGCCGGGCACCAUUCUGAGAACUUCACAUACACAAACUCACCAUAUUUCACCAAUUCAAAGACAUUUUCCUCCCACUCCCUACAUUUUAAGGUCUCUAAAAUUGGGACACAUCUUACAAUCCAUGAGAUGAUAGAUCCCGUAAAAUUCAGCAUUCAGUCCUGCCAGCAGCCCUGUGUGGAGGGCACUAUUGCUGUCCCAUUUAAGGAAGAGGCACAGGAAACUUAUGUAACUUCUGUUAUGUGAUGGAGUGGGGACUUGGCCAGAGCCCAGGGCCCAGGUUCUUCAUGGCUAUACUUUGUGUCACACCUUGUUCACCUGGACUCCAAACCACACCCUUAUCUGCCCUUCCCUGGGGUCCACUGCCUUGCAACCCAGGGGCCUAUAAGCACACACUAGCAACCAAGAUCUUUCAUCUUUUUCAGUGCAGCAAAAGGCCACCUUGAAUGUCCACUUAUGUGGUUACACACUCAGAAGGGCCACAGGUCACCUGUUCCACAAACAGUUUGGCUCUGAACCCUUAUUUGGUCUUUCCUGGACAGCUUGUCUAUAUCCUAAGUGCUUUUAGAUGCAAGAAAAGGAUCCCUUGACUGCCACAAUCUCACAAGAAAACAGUUAUUUUCUUAUCCAGAAGUCCAGGACGAGGGGAGAGGGGUCCUCUCCAAGCUUAACUCGGUGGCUUAGGGAUGCUUCCAAGGACUCUGGUGUCUGCCAUCCUCAGAGUGUAACCAUGGCCCCCCUCACAGGUGAACACAUCUAUGUCCAGCAUAGAAGAGUCAUUAUCUCCUUCUCCUCUCCUUUUAUUUGAACUCAAAACAAAAUAAAACAAACAAGCAAAAAAACCCAGAAAUAAAAACAAGCCCCCACCCCCUUCCUGGAAGUCCCUCAGAAUGCACCAUUGGCCAAGUUUGAGUCACGUGCUCAGGCAGUAGCUGCAAGGCAGGCUGGGAAAGCUAGUGCCUGGCCUUAUCAGCCUGGACAGUGGGAUAUGAUAAAUGAGCACAGUUUUGUAAAAUCAUGGAUAUUCAAUGAUGGCAAACCUGAAUCCCUGAAAAGGCUUAGUUGAGCUCAUCAUCUUUGGCGUAAGCAGCGAGGGUAGUAGGCUAUUUUAGAAAGUGCUCUGCCCUUCAUGCUUACAAAUAAAAGUUUUCAUCCUUAUGUGUCAGUUUUCUGGAAAAUUCAUUGCAUAGAACCUCUCAUGCUCCAACAAUUCCAUUUCAAUUAGGUGUUAUUAUUGUAAGUGACUAGCUUGCUCUACCAACUGGCCAAUCAUACCAAAGACAU